RNAcentral lists this long non-coding RNA (1542 nucleotides) under Manacus vitellinus (golden-collared manakin). RNAcentral's name for it is "lncRNA (ENSMVIG00005006457.1)". The record is from RNAcentral. Lineage: Eukaryota; Metazoa; Chordata; Aves; Passeriformes; Pipridae.
ACGGCCCGGAGCGGACACAGGUGACCGCCACGGGAAUGCGCCCCGCGGAACCGGGAAGGGCCCGUGCGGUGAGAGGGACUGCCCCACGGGGACAGGGAUGGGAUCCGGGGAGUGGGAACCUGCCCCAGGGAACGGGGACAGGGACCCGGGAGAUGGGGACUGGGACGGGCCCAUGGGGACAGGGACAGGACCCAGGGAAUGGGGACCAACCCCAGGGAACGGAACAGGGACCCGGGAGAUGGGAACAGGGACGGGCAGAUGGGGACAGGGACGGGUUACAGGGAAUGGGGACAGGGACAGGACCCGGGGAAUGGGGACCAACCCCAGGGAACGGAACAGGGACCCGGGAGAUGGGGACAGGGACUGGCCCAUGGGGACAGGGACGAGACACAGGGAAUGGGGACCAGCACCAGGGAAUGGGGACGGGGAUGGGACCCGGGGAACAGGGGCAGACUGACAGUGACAGGGGCAAGCUCUGGGGAACGGGAAUGGGAAUAGAGAUGAGUUCAUGGUGACAGGGAUGGGGAAGGGGAAUGGAGAUGAGCCCAAGGGAAUGGGAAUAGAGAUGAGUUCAUGGUGACAGGGAUGGGACCCGGGAAUGGGGAUGGGAAUGAACCCACGGUGACUGAGGGGAAACACCUGAGCCUCACUGGGAUGUCGGGGAAUGUCCCUCAUGACACAGCUCCGUCUGUAGGAGCUCUGGACCCUGCUGGGCUCUCCUGGAGCACCGGUGGGGCUUGGGGGGGGAUGAGGUUGGGAUCCCUGUGGUGGAGCCUCCCGUGCUUCCAGGUGCCAGCGGUGGGCGAGGGUGAGGCGGCCGUUCUGCCCGAGCAGGAAUGGGGGAACACGGACAACCAGGAGCUCCACGGGAUUGCUGUGAAGGGGAAUUAUGAGGCCACGGUCCCUCUCGGGGAGGAUCAGUCAGAUCAUGUCAGAGGCAUCAUCAUCCCUGGGCUGAUCCAGCUCCCGAGCCCUCCCCAUGUGGAAUGUGGGGGGAUUCCAGGGCCUGGAGAUGCCGAUUCCAAAUCCACGCUGCUGCCACCGGAUGAGGACAGGGAGGAUCCCGGGAUCCCUGAGCUGCCAGAGAAGGGAGCGGUGAUGGGACAGCUUGGUGACGGUGAGAUGAUCGUGAUCAAGAAGGAAGAGCAGCAGCCGCCGGAGGACGGGGCCGAGCUCCUGGCUCUGCCCACGGCCCCUGCGGAGAGGCUGGACGAGGAGGGUGCCCUGAGCCAGGAGCAGCCGGUUCCCUGGGAGAGCCACGGCGUGGCCGGGCCGAAGGCGGCCGGGGCAGGACUGGGGGAGUUCUCCCUGGGGGAGUUCAAGCCGGUGGUGGUGCCGGUGGAGGCUCACCCUGCCCCGGGGCUGCCCUUCCCCAUGGAGCACGUGCUGGGCGCAGGGACGGAGCAGCCCUUCGCCCUCCCCCAGGGAAUGCCGCUGGGAGAAGACCCCGGCGCCGAGGGGGCCUCGCCGCAGCCCGGCUGGGAGAGCCGAUCCCUGCGCCGCGGACCGUCCAGGCGCGUCCCCCGAGGUGAAGAGCGUCCG